This 465-nucleotide ribosomal RNA is filed under the name uncultured bacterium. RNAcentral's name for it is "partial 16S ribosomal RNA". It matches the Rfam family "Bacterial small subunit ribosomal RNA", at positions 339 to 795 of the family's 1533-position model. The record is from RNAcentral.
CUACGGGAUGCAGCAGUGGGGAAUAUUGCGCAAUGGGCGAAAGCCUGACGCAGCAACGCCGUGUGAGGGAUGAAGGCUUUCGGGUUGUAAACCUCUGUCGGAAGGGAAGAACGGGCAUUGGUCUAAUAGGCCUUUGUUUUGACGGUACCUUUAGAGGAAGCACCGGCUAACUCCGUGCCAGCGGCCGCGGUAAUACGGAGGGUGCAAGCGUUAUUCGGAAUUACUGGGCGUAAAGCGCACGUAGGCCGUUUUGUAAGUCAGGGGUGAAAUCCCACGGCUCAACCGUGGAACUGCCUUUGAAACUGCAGGACUUGAAUCCUGGAGAGGGUGGCGGAAUUCCUGGUGUAGGAGUGAAAUCCGUAGAUAUCAGGAGGAACACCGGUGGCGAAGGCGGCCACCUGGACAGGUAUUGACGCUGAGGUGCGAAAGUGUGGGGAGCAAACAGGAUUAGAUACCCUUGUAGUC